Non-coding RNA from Rattus norvegicus (Norway rat), 9574 nucleotides. Lineage: Eukaryota; Metazoa; Chordata; Mammalia; Rodentia; Muridae. The record is from RefSeq and is a predicted model, not a curated record.
ACUUCCAAAACAGUUCCACCAAGUUGAGACCAAGCAUUCAACUAUAUGAGCCUGUGGGGCCAUUAUCAUUCAAACCACCACAGAUAACUAACAAUGAUCUCCAGGCUGAGGGUAAUAUGAAGACUUGGAAAGAAAGAGGAGAAGUGACUCUUGUGGGGCGUGUUUGGUUAUAGAUGAUGCUAAAUACCCAUGCUGUCAUGAGUAGGCAGUUCUUACCCAAAGUGUGAAACUCAGAAUUGGGAGGUCAGAACGAGGGGCGUGCAGCUGACAAGUGGGGAUCAGAGACACAGCUGAGGCCAGCAAGCUGCUAGGUAGAUGGUGCAGAAAUCACCACUGGAAAAGACAGAACACCCGGAAGCCAAGGAGGACGUCUCAAAGUGGCAAGUAGCUUGUGGGAGGAGUCAGGGAAGGUCUGGGUGCAGUCAGCAUUGUAGGAAGAUAAGUAAGAGUGAGUAUAUCCCAGAAGGCAAUAGCAUAGGACAUUUCAGGGAUGAAGAUCAGUUCAUUCAUUCAAGCUGUCAAAAGUAGCCAAAGGGUACAGAGUGAUGAAUGUGGGCAAGCAGCAAAACCAGGCUGGGGAGACCAUCUGUCACUUGGAAAGAAAAGACUCUUCUCUCCCCAAAUUGGAGAGGUAAAGCAGCCUACAGCAUGGGAACAAGGCAAUUAAGAUCAUCUUUUCAGAGGUCCCAGUGACAGGCAGGGAAGGGAGUUUCCAAAGCCUAACAGGAAUACAAGGCUCCCCAUGUCACUUUGCUCAUCCUGGUUUUUUUUGGUCUUCUGUGAACAUGCAGUCAGAAAAUGAAAGGAAAGGCAGCAGAACCUAUCCCAGGUCACCUGGGUCUCACUCUUACAGCUUCGAGAGCUUCGAGUACUUCUCAGAGUCUUGAUUGCUGAGCCAGUGUGAAGAGAUUAUACAGAGCGUUUUCAAGCCCUAAGUCUGGAUACCUUGACUUGCUUUCCCAUAUAACCUGACAGUGGUCCAGUUAAGACACUUGAAUAUUGUAGUAGUCACUUGUCUGCUGCUGCGAUAAAACACCAUAAAAGCAUCUUAUAGAAGGAAGAGCUUAUUUGGGGCUUCCAGUUCCAGAGGGAUAGGAGUCCACCACCAUGGCAGGCAGGCAGGCAGGGUGCUGAGCAGAAGCUGAGAGCACACAGUUUGAUCCACAGACAGGAAGUAGAAAGGACUUGUUGAAAUGGCAUGAGUCUUUAAAUAUUAAAGCAAGCUGGUCUAUAGUGACAUACCUCCUGCAACAGGAUCAUCCUUCCUAAACAGUUCUAGCAGCUCGAAACCCAGUAUGCAAACAUAUGAACCUAUGGAGAUCAUUCUCAUUCAAACCACUAUAAAUAUAUAAUGCUUUUUGCACACGAGUGCUGGAAGUUGUAUGUCUUAUGACGAUAGCUAUUAUAAAUUCUAAAACAUCAGCUAAAAGACUUUUAUACAGUCAGGCAUAGUGGCACACAUGUUUAAUCCCAACACUCGGGAGGCAGAGGUAGGUGGCGCUCCAUGAGUUUGAGGUUAGUCUGGUCUACAGAGUGAAUUCCAAGAAAGCCAGGACUACAUAGUAAGAACCUGUCAUGGGGGAAAAAAAGAUUUCAUACUCUGCCUCUUGGUACAGACCCAGCUUGUGCCUUUCCUAUAGACCCUCUCAGUCUUCCCUUGUAGCUCAUCUCCAUUCCUUUGUAUUAGCUUGUGGUAAUACUCAGAAACACCUUUUUAUCAGGGAAUCCCAGUGACCACAUUAGGCUGGGAGUCAGGUAGGUGAUCUUCCUUAUCCUUCCUGUUCUCCAUUAAAACCUCCCCAGUCUCACCUGUUGCAGGUACCUUUUCUCCCACUCCAACUCCAUUCACUUGAGACUCCACCUUGGUACAGACACAGGAAUACUAUAGCCCUGCCAUUCUUGUCUCUCCAGAAAUAUUUUUUAUCCUACUGCAGCCUACUUUCAGAAACCCCCUCCUGCAACUACAUCUCUACUACCAAGGGACCCUGCCUCUUGUUGUAGACUGUAUCUCCCUAGCUCUUUCUCAUGCCCUUAACACUCUUUUUUCCCCUAGCCCAUCUUUAUUCCUCUCUGCCACCCACUGACAUGUAGAAGUACUCUCUACCAGGAACUCACAGUUGUCAUAUUUGCUGCCUAAAAGCCUAAGAGAGCAAAAGCAACCAGAAACUAAGACCAACCCAGCAAAGGCAAGAUGAGAUACCAACACAUACAAAUACCUCAAUCAUCCAGAUACCAAGACCCCAAAGCAAAAACACAAACUGAGCAGCCAAGAAGAAUUUCCUCCACCAGAGCCCAGUAAUCCUAGUAAUGCAAGACAAGGACUUCAAAAUACAAAUUAUGAAUAUAUUCAAGGACCUGAAAGAGAAUAUAAAUAAAUCUCUUAAUGAAAACUGAAAACAUAAACAGUUGACUAAAAUAAUGAAAACAAUUCAAGACAUAAAGGAAAAUUUAACAAAAAAUAAAAUCACUAAAGAAACCCCAAAGUGAAAUUAAACUGGAAGUGAAAAAUUUAGGAUGUCAAGCAAAAAUCCUCAGAGGUAAGCCUCACCAACAAAUUACAAAACAUGAAAGAAAGAAUCCCAGGUGUUGAACACAAAGCAGAAGAGACAGACACCUCAACUAAAAAUUGUUAAAUCUAAAAAAAUACAGGCACAAAAUAUCCAGGAAAUAUGGAUACCUUGAAAAGACCAAAUCUAUAAAUAGGGAUUGAGGAAGGAGAAGAAAUCCAGGUCAGCAGCACAGGAAAUAUGUUUUAACAAAAUCAUAGAAGAAAAUUUUCCCAACCUAAAGGAGGUGCCUACUAAGGUACAAGAAGCAUGCAGAACACCGAAUAGAGAGAUCCAGGAAAGAAAUUUCCCAUUACACAUAAUAAUCAAGACACUAAAUAUACAGAGCACAGAAAGAAUAUUAAUUGCUGCAAGGAGAAAAAGAGCAAGUAAUAUAUAAAAAGUAGUCUCAUUAGAAUAACACCUGACUUCUCAAUGGAGACCUUGAAAGCCAGAAUGGGCUGGAUGGGUGUUAUACAAAUUCUAAGAGAUCAUAGAUACUAGCCCAUACUACUAUACCUAGCAAAAUUGUCAAUCAUGGUUUCCAGAGAAAGAAAACCAUCCCAUGAUAAAAACAAAAUUCAAAAAAUAGCUAUCUACCAAUACAGCUUUUCAGAGGGUACUUGUAGGAAUACUUCAGUCAGAAGAGGCCAACCACAUCCCCAAAAAUGUAAGGAACAAAUAAUUCCAGACCAUUAAGUCAAAAGUGGGGCAAUGUACACGCCAUAACAGCAAAAUAACAAGAAUCAUUAAACACAACUCCUGUUUGUUGAUAACUCUCAAUAAAGAAAUUUAGACUUAUUAGAAAAUCAAUCUUUCUGCUGUGUUGUAAAAAUAUAAAAAAUAAAAAAGGGCUGUCUUUUAUCCCCACUAGGUCCGGCAACUCAGUGCCCCAAGAUAUCUGCUAGAUAUCUUUUUUUUUUUUUUUUUGGUUCUUUUUUUCCGGAGCUGGGGACCGAACCCAGGGCCUUGCGCUUCCUAGGCAAGCGCUCUGCCACUGAGCCAAAUCCCCAACCCCUCUGCUAGAUAUCUUAAUCUCAGUAAGCAAAGCCUCUUACCCACUUUGCUCCAUCCCCUGUAACACUGCCAACGGACUCUCUCUGAGCCUGGCAGCAAUCUCUCUACCUAUCUAGUUCCCAAGGCAGGUUUCCAUUCCAGAAGCACACAUGCCAAUUCUGUGGUGGCCCAUACUCUCUAGCUGCCGCACACUUUCCUACACUUAAAUCGCUACAUGAAAGAACACACAACACAAUAAUCUUUGGCCCUAUUAAAUAAGAUAUAAUUGCCCACCUAAACAUACAAAGCCCAAUACACAUCCACCCCUUAAAAACAUUCAUAACAACCUGUAAAGGUAGUGUGGAAUCUUACAUCACCUGCCAUAUUGUCCUGCCACAGCUUCUCUUCCUCUCCCUCCUGUCUCUUCCUCCUUUCCGUUCCAGUCUCCUCCUCUUCCUUCAAUCUUCUCUCCAGCCCAUCCUUCCUUUCAUCAAAUGACAGGCCUCCUUCUAUCCUGUACCUGCCCCUCACCUGUAUUUUACAAAUUCAAUGGGAAGAAGGCUCUGGUGAAGUCACCUGAGUCCUGAGCAUGUGACUAGGCAGCAGUCCUUGGGGCAGUGGAAUUAGCAUCAAAAUACAGAUAACUCCAGAGCAAACUACAACAUUGCUGCAUCCAAGAAACACAGGUCAUUCUCAAGGAUAGAAAACACCUCAGGGUGCAAGGAUAGAAAAAAACAUUUCAAGCAAAUGGACCCAAGUGGCAAUAGACUUCAAAGUAAAAAUGACCAAAAAAGGUAUGGAAGGAGAUUACAUACUAAUCAAAGGAAAAAUCCACCAAGAGGAUAUUGCAAGUCUAAACUUUUAUACACCAAGCACAGGACAACAAAGUUCUUAAAAGAAACAUCACUCUUGCAAACAAUUGAAUACUCAUCCUUACACCAUGAUAGUGGGUGUGGUUGUUAUUUUUGGUUGUCAACUUGACUUCAUCUGAAAUUAACUAAAACCUAAGAGGCUAGGUACACAUGUGAGAAAUUUUUCUUAAUUAAAUCACUUGAAGUGGGAUGGAUUAGGAUGCUAAAUGUGGAUCUUCUGAGGCAAGAAGAUCCACUUUAAAUUUGGUUUUAUCAUGGGAUGCUUUUCUUUCUCUGGCAAUUGAGAUGGAUAGUUUUGCUGAGUAUAAUAGUUUGGGCUGGCGUCUGUGAUCUCUUAGAUUUUGUAAACCAUCCAUCCAAGCCAUUCUGGCUUUCAGGGUCUCUAUUGAGAAGUUAGGUGUUAUCUAAUGAGUCUACUUUUAUAUGUAAUUUGAGUUUUUAAAUCUGGAUCACUCCAUCUUGUGGGAACCUAUAUAAAGGACCUGGAAGAAUGAAGUGCAUUUUCUUUGCCUUCUUGCUCUCUUCUUCUUAACUGCAUUUGUUCACUGGUAUUAGAGCCAGUGAACUUCUGACAUACACUUAAGACCAGCUGGAAGUCUAGCCUUGUGAACUGAAUAAGUACUAGAUUCUUAAACUCUUCAUAUCAUAAGGCUAUUUUGGAAUAAUCAGACAUGUUGGAAUAGAAUCCAUAAGUCAUUCUCACCAAUAGACAAGUCAUACAGACAAAACUAAACUGAAAAAUGCUAAAGUUAAAUGACACCACGAAUCAAGUAGACAUAGGAGUUAUCUGAAUAUUUCAUCUAAACACCAAAGAAUGUGCUUUCUUUUUGGCAGCUCAGGAAACUUUUUCCAAAAUUGACCACAUACUUGGACACAAAGCAUAUCUCAACAGAUAGAAGAAAACUGAAGUAGCACCUUGCAUCUAUCAGACCACCACAGAUUAAAGCUAGAAAUAAGCAAAAACAGAAACAAAAGAAAGCUUAUAAAUUUCUGGAAACUGAACAACUCAUUACAGAAUGAAAAACGGGUUAAGACAUAAAUCAAGAAGGAAAUUUAAUUUAAUGUUUUUAGAUUGAAUGAAAAUGAAAACACAACAUAUGCAAGCCUGAGAGACACAAUAAAGGCAGUUCUAAGAGGCAAGUUCACAGUACUCUGUGUGUGUGUGUGUGUGUGUGUGUGUGUGUGUGUGUGUGUGCAUCAUACAUACUCAGAAUCCAUGAAUAGUUGCACUUAAGAGAUAUCUCUAAUAGCAAUUUAAAGGUAUAUCUGAUAGCUCUAGAACAACAAGAAGAAAUAACACCCAAAAAUGUUGUGGUUUGCCUUGAAAUUUUCUCUGAAUUUGUUAAAUAAAGGCAAGAGCGUGAGAUUUGGACAGAGGGAAAAGUCAGGAGCAAGAGGGGGAUUAGAUUCAGAGAAUAGGGUUAGAGAGGACAGUUGGCGACAGUUGAGCCAGUGGAACCUGAGCAGGAGGGGGAGAGGAUGGAACAGUUGAGAGUGUGAGGGGAGGAGAAGGGAACGGUUUAGAGACAGGAUGGGGAACUGAGAAGAGUUAGAAGAGACAGGAGAUGGAGAGAGGGGAGAAGCUAGGAGUCGUUGUAAGAGAAAGAGAAACUAAAGCAUGAAAGGGUUGAUAUAUUUGGGAGAGUGAGUAAAGACAGUUUAGAGACAGGAUGGGGAACUGAGAAGAAUUAGAAGAGACAGGAGAUGGAGAGAGGGGAGAAGCUAGGAGUCGUUGUAAGAGAAAGCGAAACUAAAGCAUAAAAGAGUUGAUAUAUUUGGGAGAGUGAGUAAAGAAAAGAGAGAGAGAGAGGAGAAGCAAGGAGUCGUUGUGGGAGAAGGAGAAGCUGGAGACUUGGUAAAUAAAAGGUGCAAGGGAUAGAUGGUACCGGGCUUUGUAUGUUUAAGUGGGCAAUUAUAUCUUACCAAUUGGAUCAAAGAUUAUUGUGUGGUGUAUUUUUAUAUGUAAGAGUCUCAGUGUAAGAAAAUGUGUGGCUGGGCUGUGUUUCCGCCAAGAUAUCCAGCAGAUAUCUGGGGCACUGAGGUGUGGAACCCAAGCAGGGUAAAACACCCAGAGAAAAACAUUUACCGUUUCAUUUUUAUUUUUUUAUUUUUAUUAUUUUUUACAACAACAUAUGGCGCCCAACUAAUCCAUUAGAACUCAACUAACCUGAGAUAGAAGUUUACUUCCCUCUCAACCCCAGAAUAGGCCUCUGAUAGAGAUCCAGGCAGGAGUACUGGUGGAUUGGGAAUUGACUGGGUCUGAGGGGUCUACGAAGAAUCGAGAGGACUGCACGUAUUCUGAAGCAGAGGGAGAAAAAGGUACAAGGGGCUUCAGAUCAGGUAUACCACACAAUCCUACAGGACAAGCGAUUGUGGAGAGAUCUAAUCGAAGUCUAAAGGAGAUGCUUAACAGGCAAAAGGGGUCAACAAAAACUCCCAGAGAUAGGCUACAUAGUGCUUUAUUAACCUUGAAUUUUUUGAAUGCUGAUGAACAAAACAGUACAGCUGCUGAAAGACAUUGGAUUGUGGAAAAGACUACUGAACUAAACCAGCCUGCUUAUAUUAAGGAUAUUCUGACGUCAGAAUGGAAAAUGGGAAAUGUGUUACGCUGGGGAAGGGGUUAUGCCUAUGUUUCUACAGGAGAAGAAAAGCUGUGGGUUCCUUCCUAGCUGAUAAAGAUCAGACAUGACAAGGGGAGACCUCCUGAAGUCCUUGGCAACACAGAAGAAAAGGGAGACUAAGACGAUCAACAAAUAGGUAAUGUAUAUGUGAGGAUGUUUAGGUCUCCGUGUAUGAACUGGCUGAGACUAAAAUGUCUAUAAACAGCCAGUAACAUUUUGAGUACGAAUUUCUCAUAACUUGUUAUUACAUGCAUCCUGUAAAAUGGCAUGUAUUACAAAAUUAUGUUACGGUUUGAUUAUAUGAUCAAACUAACCUGGAGAAAGGCAGUCACCUUCCUUUGUUGACCUUUAUUAACUAAGCUGUGCACCAUGUGGAUGCGCUUACAGAACUAUCUGAUGCUUGUAAGUCUUGUGUGCUGCAGGAUGAAAGAAGAGAAAGACAGCCCUGAAAUGAUCCACACUCUGGGAUGCUGGGAUUCCGGGACCUUCGUGUUUGAUUCCCCUCAAUGACACUGAAGCUGCUUCAUUUAAAGGCUUGCUUUCAGAACUUUCCCAGAGUGGCCAUCUUGUUUAUCCAGCCCUUCAGACUGUCAUAGUCAAGAGGUCAGCUAAUCGAUGAACUUUCUCAGCACAGAGUGACUGGCAGGCAAAUCCUGGCUAGCUCUACUUGGACAAAGCCAACUCUUCCUAAUUCCCCUUGGGCCCCAGAAGGGAAUUCUUCGCCCCAAUCCGCCUGGAAGCAGACGAGGAAGAUCAUCGUCCCCGUUCCUUAUGUUGGGGUGGAAGGUUCUGGUUAUUCUAAGAACUGUGGAUAUGUUUUCUUUUAAGGGAUACUAUACAAAUGUAGCUUUGGGCAGGGGGAACUAGAGAAUGUAAACUCAGGGAUUGCUACUUUUCCUUCCCUUUUUUGUAUCCUUCUUAGAUAUAGUAAUACAUAGAAGUUGGAGAGGUGGGCAAACAGGGAUAGAUUGGCAAACUUACUCUUAAACAAAAAUUUUACAGCUAUAUUUUACAUUGAUAGAAAUGUUUGUAAUUGAUACAAAGUUGAAGCUGCAAUCUUUUCAUUGGUAUAGAAUGCAUUUUACACAAAUGCGAGGUUUUCAUUGGUAUACUUUCUUGUUGAUUUAUAAUUGAGAUUAAUAUUGCUACUUUAACAUGGGCAUUGUGCCUCCACUAUGCAUCUAAGAAUACAAGUCUUAGACCCAGUCCUAUAACUGCUAUUAUACAUUAAUUUUAGUUGAUUAACCAGUACCAGCUAAAGGUCAGAACCUAAGUCAUGGUUCUAAGUCAGUUUAGAUGGGUUUUGUAAAUACUUCAAUUAGAGAGGGCCAACGGUAUUCUAUGCUUAACAGUUCAGAAACGCCUAUGUAGAUAGGAAAUCUUCAAGGGCAUCAGAAAUCCAAAGAAUAACCUGUUUAUGGACAUUUCUUCAUCUAGAUCAUUUGACUAGAGACUUGUCUGCCCCUGACAGGACCCCUUAGACUCGAAGAAGAAAUUGAGCAUCAAUGCAGUUGCUCAAAUCGUGGUAACACAGCCACUGAGCAAAUUGCUUCAAUUCAUCUACAGACAAGACACUGUCCAGAAAGGGACAAAUUAUGCAGAAUAGUCGACUGAUAAUCUCUGCCGAGGCAGGGUGAUCAGCCCUUCAAAAUCUGCAUUGCUAAGGUCUGUCAGAUGAUCCUGGGCCAGAAGGCUGAAGACUGAUGCUCCGGCAUAUUAAGGAAUAAGGGGUCUGUCCAGGUGAUCAGCAGUCUUUAUAAAUUGGCUAAGCUUGGAAGCCAUGUUUUGUGCUUCCUAUAUUUUCAGGUAAUAUUAAUCAUUCUUGGAUUUCUGAUGUGGUUGGAGACUAGUAGUCUCAUAGACAACCCAAACGGUUUAGUAUUGAGAAAGAUGAUAAAUCUGUUAGAGUAGUUUUAGGGUAGCAUAGGAUCUAGAACCAGGAUAUAGUCAAGUAUAGUUUUUAGUAUAGAUGACAUGGUUAAUGAACAAAAUUGAUGGACUGGAUGAUGAGUGUAUUGUUGGUUUUAUAAAUUGCAGAAUGGUAAUAAUAAUACUUAGCUCACAUAUGUAUAGGGAAAAGGUUUUUUAACUGGACAAAAAGGGGGAAAUGUUGUGGUUUGCCUUGCCAAGAUAUAAUAUAGAUAACAUGGUUAAUGAACAGAAUUGAUGGACUGGGUGAUCAGCAUAUUGUUGGUUUUAUAAAUUGCAGAAUGGUAAUAAUGCUUAGUUCACCUAUGUAUAGGGAAAAGGUUUUUUAACUGGACAAAAAGGGGGAAAUGUUGUGGUUUGCCUUGAAAUUCUCUCUGAAUUUGUUAAAUAAAGGCAAGAGCGUGAGAUUUGGACAGAGGGAAAAGUCAGGAGCAAGAGGGGGAUUAGAUUCAGAGAAUAGGGUUAGAGAGGACAGUUGGCGACAGUUGAGCCAGUGGAACCUGAGCAGGAGGGGGAGGAUGGAACAGUUGAGAGUGUGAGGGGAGGAGAAGGAAGCUAGGAGGAGAAGGGAACGGUUGAGAGACAGGAUGGGGAACUGAGAAGAGUUAGA